This 425-nucleotide ribosomal RNA is filed under the name uncultured soil bacterium. RNAcentral describes it as "bacterial SSU rRNA". It matches the Rfam family "Bacterial small subunit ribosomal RNA", at positions 26 to 465 of the family's 1533-position model. The record is from RNAcentral.
AGAUUGAACGCUGGCGGCAUGCCUUACACAUGCAAGUCGAACGGCAGCACGGGGGCAACCCUGGUGGCGAGUGGCGAACGGGUGAGUAAUGCAUCGGAACGUGCCCAGUAGUGGGGGAUAACUAGUCGAAAGAUUAGCUAAUACCGCAUACGACCUAAGGGUGAAAGCGGGGGAUUCGCAAGAGCCUCGCGCUAUCGGAGCGGCCGAUGUCUGAUUAGCUAGUUGGCGGGUAAAAGCCCACAAGGCUUCGAUCAGUAGCUGGUCUGAGAGGACGACCAGCCACACUGGGACUGAGACACGGCCCAGACUCUACGGAGGCAGCAGUGGGAAUUUGGACAAUGGCGCAAGCCUGAUCCAGCCAUGCCGCGUGCGGAAGAAGCCUUGGUGUAACGCGUUUGCGAGGAACGAACGGCGAGAGACGAAUA